Molecule: long non-coding RNA, 7544 nt
Organism: Heterocephalus glaber (naked mole-rat)
Lineage: Eukaryota; Metazoa; Chordata; Mammalia; Rodentia; Bathyergidae
Source: RefSeq, a predicted model, not a curated record
UGAGAGGUGUUCUUUGACCACAGAUAUAGUAUUAGGAAUUUAUGGUGGGCUCCAAGUAGCUACAGUGACUGGUCAAAAUGAUGAACAAAGUUACUUGUAAGCCACGAUUGUGAGUCCCUAUCUUGAAAGCCUGGUAUGCUGAAUUAUGUACUUCCUUUCUCGGUCACCAUUAACUGAGCCCUCUCUCUUGGGGAUUUUUCUGAGGAAACUUAAAAAUCAUUACUCAUUGAGGUCUGGAGGAAUAGCCUGAUCUCUUCGGUUUAGAAUGUUGAGGUUUCAACUGGCUUGGGGGCUAGAAAGCUCUACUCCCAGGCAGGAUAAUUUGUUGAGUUAUUUGUCUUUGUUUCCUUUAUACUUUACUCAACAUUCCAAGCAGGUGGCCAAGUCUUUCUCCUUCCUUGUUGCAGAACCCAAAGAAGUAGUUGGCAGAGCACCUCCCUUCCUGCCAUUUUCCCCCUUGGCCUCAAGGGAUUUGAGCAUAACGUGCUAGGGAAAGGAGUAAAGUCUUUGAUAAUGAGAGCUAAGAUUGUUCCUGAAAGGGAGAAAUGGAUAUCCUUACUUUUUGUAAAUAAUGGGGCUCUGUCAUCCACCCUCCUUAGAACCUCAGAAAGAUGACAGAACUGCUCAGGAUGAUGACUGCAUGUGGAGCUAGGAAGGUCUUCCUGGAUUUUUGAGUUCUUGGCUUUCAGCUCUGGUAAAGAUUCCCAUGGGGACACAAGAACAUUCAACUUCAAGGAUGUAUGCAAGCUUAGCCUACAGGCAUCUUGGUGGAAUUGUGUAGAUAACCAUGGAAACCAUGUUGGCUCACAGGUCAAACCUGGAAGGGCACCUACUUUUGUGUGAAUGAUUAUGUGUGCAUGCGUGUGUGUGUGUGUGUGUGUGUGUGUGUGUGUGUGUGUGGUGCAGGGGAUGGAAUCCAAGGCCAUAUUAUAUAUUCAAGGAAGUUUUCUACUAUUCAGUUACACUCCCCACCUACAUUUUUAAAGUGUGAGAGGAAAAAUGCAAGAAUGUUUUGUGGCAUACAAUUAUAUGAAAUUCUAUUUCAAUAUCCAUAAAUAAAAUCUUCUUGGAGCACAGUCAAGCUCAUCCAUUUACCUAUUGUUGAUAAUUGCUUUCAAGCAACAAUGGCAAAGUUGAGUAAUUGUAACAGAGACCUCCCUGGCUUACAAAGUUUAAAAUAUUUACUCUCUGGUUCUUCACACAGAGCAUAUGCAAAAUCACUGAAACUUAUACCUGUGACCUUUAUGCUGAGUGACCGAUAAGGCCUUGGCUUUGCAAAAAUUACUUUGUUCCAGAUAGUUUUUUUUUCUUCUGAGGGUUCUGGUGAGGACCUGAGAAUUAAUAUCAUUCCUGUCCCCUUAGUUUCUGCCCUUACAAUUGUAUCAUAGUCAUAUGAUCACAGCUGUGAUAGGAAUACCUAAGAGGAGAGGAGGGGAGCAUUUCAAUGGAAUUGGGUGCGGUUAUAAAUACCAAUGGGGAGUGGAGGCCUGCAGAGGUCUCAGACCGAGGAAGAUGAGCAGAGUGGACAAAGGCUUCAGUUGCCGCUGCUGCAGGCUGCUGCACAACUCAUGUCCACAAUCCUCCCUGAGUGCUCUGGCUUCUGGUAUCCAGUUACCAGAUUUAACAAUUUCCUCUCGCUUCUGCUUGGCUCUGACUUUUGUGUAAUUUAAUUGGAAACAGAGCCAACUCUCACAGAAAGGCUAAACAAAUCUACCUCCUGCAGAGGCAGGAUAAUCUAUGAUGCACAGAUUUAUUAUUUUUAAAAACAAAUAUGUUCUGCACACUUACUUUGAUCACUUCCUCAUCUACUUAGUUGGCUCAGCUCUCUGAGCCUGUUCCAUGUAAGGGAUGGCAUGUCUGUCAGAUGGGCUGGGCUGAGAGUUUGGGAGUCAUCGAUCUUGUGUUCUGGCUCUUGCUCUAGUUCUGCUUUUCUUGCUCAUCACUGUCCCUUUUACCCAGUGAAAGACUGAGCCUCAAAAAGAGGCUUUGUUGCCCCUAGGACAGCUGUGAGAAAGUCCCUGAGGGGUAGUACCAGAAGCCAGGCUGGCUAUGCACCAAUUACUUGUCAAAAACCAUUUAUGAGAAGUUCUUUUGAUGUGAGGAAAGGCUGGUUUGGGGAGGAGGCCAAUGUCACCCUUGAACCCCAGCCUGCAUCUUCCACCUGACUUUUUUUCUCCCCCACAAUCUCCAUCAGGGGUCUCCCUGCUCCCAGAUUGUGUGGUUGGUGGAGUCCUCCCCCUAGAUUCCCAGGGCAGGGGCAGAUACACCUUCAGAGGAUCUCUGUGCUGGGUCCAUCUUCUGCUUCUGAGGGACUGCAGUGUGGUGGUUGUCCUCUCUUCUGCAUCGUAAUCACUGCUCUAUGGAGAACUACCAGCACAUUCUUUUCUUCCACAGCCAGAAACAAACAUCCCAUAGAUGAAACCCAAGACAACCUUCUUUAGACCUCAUGCCCCUUUUAAGAUAAAGUCUCCUCGAUAGCUGAAGCUCUUGAGAGUGGUAAUUGCUCUCUUACCUCCUAGUCCACCUGCAAUCCACAGCAAUAGGGUUUCCAGCUAAGGCAUCUCGCAACCAGAACUACCUUGGGCAGGUUUCUUUUUCAGUCUUCACCUUGUCUGAUCUCUGUUGACUGCUCUUUUCUCCUCCUCCUCCUCCUUUUUUUGUGAUACUGGGGAUUGAACCCAGGGCCUUCACACUGAGCUACAUUCCUAGCCCUUUUUAUUUUUUAUUUUGAGACUGAGUCUGCUCUCUUCUUGCAGCCUGUUUUCCUUUGGCCUCUGUGACAUUACACAGUCCUGGAUUUUUCUCUAUUUCUCUGAUCAUUUGUUCUUAGUCUUCUUUAUCAACCCUUGCUCUAUUCACACUCUUGUGUUACAGUUCCUUUGAGCUCUGUCUCAUCCUAUACUUGUUCCUCAAGAAACCACAUCUAAUUCCUUGGCUGUAAAUGGAAUGAAAGAGCUUAUUCAUAUAGCAAAAUGGCCCCAUGAUAGUACUGAAGCUGUUAGCUCUGGUGUGCAAGGCCAGGUUGGGUCAGUAUAGGCCCACGGAAGAAGAAAACUGGACUUUCAACCCAAGGGAAUCACUGAGGGAGAAGCCCAAUCAAAUCUUUUUAGGGAAAACCACUUUUAGGGCCAUCUUAUAGUCUAGGCUGUGGCUAGAGCAGGACCUCUCAGUCUGAUGAGUUAGUCUUGGAUCUCAUUUAUGUGAAACAUCAAGAAUAAGCAGGGCUGGGGAUUUAGCUCAGUGGUUCUGGCGCCUGCCUUGAAAGUGCAAGGUCCCGAGUUCAAUCCCUGGUACUUAAAAAAAAUUAAAAAAAAAAAGAAUAAGCAAAUAAUGUACCAACAGAAGGCAAGUUAAUGGUUGCCAGAGUAUAGCAGGGAGGGAGAAAUGAAGAAUGAUUGCUUAACAGGUAUGUGAUUUUCUUUUGAUGAAAAUAUUCUGCAACUAGACAAUGGCAUUGAAUGCACAAUGCCGUGAAUGUCCUAUGUGUCACUAAGGCUGAAGAAAAUCUAGGGUUCAUCCUAGAAAAGGAACCACUUCUGAACCAAGCCACCUUGGACAGGGAUACAUUCAAGGUCAGCAUGAUGAAUAGGAAUCAGCACAGCAUAGUUGGAAGAUCAUGAGCCUCGGAAUCAGCAAUGGAUUCAAAUUUCACAUCUCACAACAAACUCUAGUUUCUCAUCUUUACUGGGACAAAAAUAAAAAUAUUGAAUUCAGAGUCCUUUUUGAGGCAUACAUGCAACGAAGGGAAAGGACUCCAUAUAGUACGGUGCUAAGGGUACACAGGGUGGGAUACGUGUGACAAGUUACGAGGAAUGUGGCAUUUAGUUGGAACAGGAGAAGGAGGGUGCCUUCCUCCUGCUCACUGAGUAAAGCAGAAAAGUUUCAGGACUCUGCUUUCCCCUCCUCUCUUCCAAAGUUGCUGCCCAGCCCCUCCUUGGCACAGUUGCUCUGUAGGCUUUGCCCUGAUAUUGCCCCAGCUCCCUGCUCCAAGGUAGAGGGUAGGAGGGGCCUGGCUUAUGUAAAUGAGGCCCAGACUUGGGAGACAUGCUGAAACAUAAAGUUUUUUGGGGGUACAACUAAUAUCCUGAAUCUGGUCCUUUCCCACCAAAGGGCUGGCUUUCCUUAAACGGCUUUGAUCUCUCCUUUCUAUAUUCGCCUCUACACACAUCCAUUCCUAACCCUGAGCUUCUAGAAAGUCUGUGGAUGGGUCCAGCCCCUCCAGGGGCAGCCUUAGUUCGUCCACAACAUUUUGGGAUGUGGUUGUCUCAAAAAUGCCCACUGGAGCAGCAGUGGGGUGAGGCAACACACUAUUCAUUGCUUUCACUUACUAACCUGAACACAAGAAAGUCAGUUUAGGGUUAGAUCACUGGUUCUCCCUCUCCUUCCUUCUGCAUCAGCCACUUGCACAACUAUCCCCAGAAUCAUAAUAUCAGCUGGCAUACAUUAAGUGAACAAUGGGUUUGUAGUCAACCACAAAUCAAACCCAGGGGAUUUAACUUUAUAUUCUAGGCUUUCAGCAUUGCACUAAACCAGAAUAGAGUGCACAAAAAGAUUUUUUUUUUUUGUUAGUACCAGGGAUCGAACUCAGGACCUUGGACUUGCGAGACAGGCGUGGUGCCACUGAGCUAAAUCCCUGGCUUCUGGUUUUUUGCUGUUGUUGUUGUUCUGGGGAUCGAACUUGGGACCUUCCACCAUCACUGAGCUAAAUCCCCAGCCCCGCACAAAAAGAUUUUUAAUGAAAUGUAAAGGUCUGAAUUUUAUGUCAUGAUGCCAAUAUCAAUAGUUACUGGGAUUCAAUCAGUAUCUUUUGAAUGAAACUUGUUAUUUUUACAUUCUAUAAUCAGAGUUUGUAUUGGCACAACCAUCUUUGGAAAAUGUAAUUUGCCCCAAACUAUUGGAAGAUGUUAUAAAAAUUAGACUUUUGUAUAAAAUAUUAGAAUUUAUUCUACCAAUGAAAAGAAAGUAAAAUGUACUCACAAAAUUUCCUUCUUAUUUUGGGUUCCACUUGCAUCUUCAAAGCACCACCUAUCUUAAGGAUUGGUGUGGCCUCCAAGUUACAUUGUUUAUAUGUAGAGAAAUCAAAAAGAUUAUGUGAAUAACUUAGGCUUUCAAAGUUGCAUUUUCUCAUAGAUGAAGGAUGUAUUCUAAACUUGAACCUGAUAUUGAAAAACCCAGAGAAGGAGAAAACUGAUUUUGAUUUAAGAUUCAGAGAGAGAGGCAAAAAUCCCUUUGAGUAUCCCUAUGUUUGAGUGGGGUAGCACAAUGAAUAAGUGCAACUGUGUAGUUGUUCCUACACUGUCCUAGAGCCUUUCAGGCCUGACCUUCCUGAAUAUGACUGUCACCAUUUCCCAGCUAUUACUGCAUGGAAGCCUAACAAGAGCACUAUUGGUGAUACCCAUGUGCAACCUACAAACUCUUCUUUUGGCACAGGCUAUGCUGUGACAUGGAACAGAGGUAGGGUGGGCACUGCCAAAUUCCUUCUCCUCACUAAGAUGAGUACAACUGAACACAUAUCCUUGCCCUGUUUACUGGAGAAACAGGGUGGUCACAAAUACUGAAAAAUGAAACUUACACUAUCAGAAAAAAAAUCAGUUCUAAACCACAAAAAUAAUGAAAGUAAAUUUGAAAGCAUGAUAUAGCAUAGUUGAAAGGAGAAUAUUAUGAUUAUUGAGCAUUUUCUACAGUGUACAUUACUUAAUUUCAUAAUAAAUUCUGUAAACUGGGUGUUAGUAUUAUCUUUAUUUUUUGGAUGGGAAAACUGAGGCUUUGAAAAUUGAAAUAAUUUGUCCACAGCACAUAUCUGUCAGUGGUGAAGUUGGAAUUAAAAUCAAGUCUAACUCUAAAAUCACAAUUUUACCUGCUAAGCAAUACUUCUAGGCCCUCUAAGCCUGCUGUUUGUUACUCUUCUGAAGUCUGGUUGAGUUAUUAUCACCCAACUAGUCACACAAACUCAGAAAUCAUUGUUGACAAGGUCUUCUUCAUCUCUCUCACAUCCACUCUUAAUUUCACAUUCAGGAAGGCUCUGCCACAUGCCAGGUAGUACAGAUAUGAUGGCAAAAAAGAUGGUAAAGAUUCCUGCCCAAGGUAAGCAAGUCAGAGUCUUCUCUGGUGUUCUAAAAUUUGGAAUCAGACAAAACACAUAUCACUGUCCUGGUCUGAAGCAGGGAGAUGCUAGGCCAGUAAGCCUGGUGCAGCUGUUUCUUGUUGUAUGGAGAAAUUCAGAGAGAAGUAAGGGGACACUCAGAAAGAAUCACAAUGACAGGUGGAGAGAGGAGCCCGGCAGUAGGGUCCAUGAUUCUGUUUUCAGCUGUUCCUAGGCCAGUUGCACCCUCCUCUCACCACAGCUAUGUGAGCUUUUGAUAAUUUCCACUUCCUGUUUAAAAUGGUGAGAGUUGUAUUUCAGUCACCUGCAACCCAACCUCUGUUGAGUGAUACAAACCACAACAAAAAGGCAUUUGCUAUCUCACCCUAGGAUAACCUAUUUUUACAUGGUGGAACAUAUUCUCAUAGGAGGAUUUCUGAGAGUACUUGCCCUGCUGACGAAAUCUCUCAUUCCAGCCCUGGCCAUCAAUUCACAGGGAAUGACCUAAUCUGCCACCCCAGUACUCCUCGGCCGACCUGCCUGGCCAUAGUUUACUCAUCCACUUCUGGCUCAUGUUGAGCCAAUCAGAAACCCUGUUCAUAGAAUUUUACGUUCAGACUACAAUUUUAUGUGUAGACACAAUUUUAUGUUUAGACUAUUUUUGUUUGGUCUACAUGGGAACAAUUUCAUCAGGGUGGUAUAGGAAAAAGUUCUGCAGAUCCUGGCUUUUCUUUUCUUUUUUCUUUUCUUUUCUUUUCUUCUUUUCUUCUUUUUUCUGUACUGGAGGCUGAACCCAGGGUCUCACCCAUGCUUCCACUCAGGCAAGCACUCUACCACUGAGCUAUAUCCCUAGCCCUCAACUGUAUCUUCAAAGUACAACUCUUCCUUCAAUUUCUUGAGCUGCUUUAGCCUUUUUAAGCAAAUUUAUUCAAUCCUUUUUUUCUCCCUUGAGGUGGCCCAGGUCGAAAUUAGUUUCUUGGAAAGAAAACAAUUUUACUGCCUUUUAAUUCUUCCAGAUUUUAUUUUUAUUUUUUCUUUUUCAAAUCUUUAUUUAAAAAAUUCCUUUGAGGGCCAGGGAUUUAGCUCAGUGGUUCCAGUGGUUGCCUUGCAAGUGCAAGGACCCGAGUUUGAUCCCUGGUACCAAUUAAAAAAAAAUUCCUUUGUUACAAGUUUAAAUUCAAAGUAAUACAAGAGGAUAUUAAUAAAGAAAAUAUUUUUUAAAAAUAGCCUUUUAUGAAAAAUAAAGCAAAAAUUCAUAAUAAAUAAUUUUAAAAUAACAUUAGUUAAUAUACUGUGUGCCAUAAUCUUAAAAGAAUGGCCAAAAUGUUAGAGUACAAGUCAUAGGCAAAAGAAACUCUUACAAAAAAGAUGCCGGAGAGUUAGCUCAGUGGUUCCGCCACCUGCUUUGCAAGUGCAAGGACCUGAGUUUGAUCUCCGGUACAAAAAAAAAAAAAAAAAAAAA